GGCGUGCAUGGAAACACUCUAAAGAAGUGUUUCCGGCACACUUCUGUACGGAAAGUGUUCCCGGGAACAAAAAAGGAACAGAAACGCGUUUGGUUGCGUUUUUGUUCUUUUUUUGUUUUUUUGUUUCUGGAACGAAAUAGAAACAGAAAAAAGAAACAAAAAAAAGUUGUUUCUUUUGAAAAGAAACACUUCUUCGACGGAACAAAAGAACAAAAACCAAAGAAACAAAAAGAACAAAAUCGGAACAAAGGCGACGAACUCUUCUCCUUCGUGCGUGCUCGUCGCUCCUCUCGUCGGCUGAAGCUUCGUUCUUCCUUUUCCGGCGUCUCUCCCAUCUCUCCGGCGGCUCCCACUCGGCUGACUCUCCGGCGACUCCAGGUACGUUUCCGGUGCUCCUCCUUCUCCGGUAAGCGUUGCUCCCCCUUCGGCGCUCCUCCUCCGGUCAGCGUUGCUCCCCCUUCGGCGCUCCUUCUCCGGUCAGCGUUGCUCCCCCUUCGGCGCGACAGAUCUGGGACGGCUCGCUCGAGCCUCGAGCGAGCGUUGCUCGCCCAGAUCUG
RNAcentral lists this long non-coding RNA (557 nucleotides) under Eucalyptus grandis. Its description in RNAcentral is "long non-coding RNA (EGRA_LNC007491)". Lineage: Eukaryota; Viridiplantae; Streptophyta; Magnoliopsida; Myrtales; Myrtaceae. The record is from RNAcentral.